AGAUGUGAUCAUACCAGCACUAAAGCGCCGGAUCCCAUCAGAACCCCGAAGUUAAGCGUGCUUGGGUGAGAGUAGUACUAGGAUGGCUGACCUCCUGGGAAGUCCUGAUUUUGCAUUCA
RNAcentral lists this ribosomal RNA (119 nucleotides) under Hordeum vulgare subsp. vulgare (domesticated barley). Lineage: Eukaryota; Viridiplantae; Streptophyta; Magnoliopsida; Poales; Poaceae. The record is from RNAcentral.